CCCACGCCGAGUACGCCUGCUUGACGAGCCCCAGCGGGUGGUGGUCGCUGCGCUCGUAGUGGGACUGCGCCGAGGACGUCCACGUCCGCGAGGGCCCCUCGACGAAGCGGUACGUGCACCUGGAGACACGGCGGCAGGUGAGAAUGCAGGCACAGACACUGGUCGGACUGUGAGAGCGUGCUUACUUGGUUUUAGGUUCGGAUGGUGGCUCGUCGCCAACUUUUUCGUCGUAGAACAAGUAAGGCUAAAUCGGACACCGGGUGUCGAUUAGUGCCCGGAAC
This 281-nucleotide long non-coding RNA is filed under the name Ganoderma lucidum. RNAcentral's name for it is "long non-coding RNA (GLUC_LNC000040)". Lineage: Eukaryota; Fungi; Basidiomycota; Agaricomycetes; Polyporales; Polyporaceae. The record is from RNAcentral.